This 300-nucleotide unclassified non-coding RNA is filed under the name uncultured Lachnum. Its description in RNAcentral is "sequence contains 5.8S rRNA gene, ITS2". The stretch from base 1 to 95 matches the Rfam family "5.8S ribosomal RNA", at positions 55 to 154 of the family's 154-position model. The record is from RNAcentral. Lineage: Eukaryota; Fungi; Ascomycota; Leotiomycetes; Helotiales; Hyaloscyphaceae.
GCGUCAGAUGUGUAUAAGAGACAGGUGAGUCAUCGAAUCUUUGAACGUACAUUGCGCCCCCUGGUAUUCCGGGGGGCAUGCCUGUUCGAGCGUCAUUUAUACCAAUCUAGCCUGGCUAGGUGUUGGGCUCCGCCGUCUGGUGGGCCUUAAAACUAGUGGCGGUGCUCUUCAGCUCUACGCGUAGUAAUUUUCUCGCUAUAGGGUCUGGGGAGAUGCUUGCCAGCAACCCCAAAUUUUUCUAGGUUGACCUCGGAUCAGGUAGGGAUACCCGCUGAACUUAAGCAUAUCAAUAAGCGGAGG